GAUGAACGCUGGCGGCGUGCCUAAUACAUGCAAGUCGAGCGAACCCUACUUCGGUGGUGAAGCGGCGAACGGGUGAGUAACACGUAGGUGAUCUGCCCAUCAGACGGGGACAACGAUUGGAAACGAUCGCUAAUACCGGAUAGGACGAAAGUUUAAAGGUGCUUCUGGCACCGCUGAUGGAUGAGCCUGCGGCGCAUUAGCUAGUUGGUAGGGUAAAGGCCUACCAAGGCGACGAUGCGUAGCCGACCUGAGAGGGUGAACGGCCACACUGGGACUGAGACACGGCCCAGACUCCUACGGGAGGCAGCAGUAGGGAAUCUUCGGCAAUGGGCG
This 333-nucleotide ribosomal RNA is filed under the name uncultured bacterium. RNAcentral describes it as "bacterial SSU rRNA". It matches the Rfam family "Bacterial small subunit ribosomal RNA", at positions 28 to 377 of the family's 1533-position model. The record is from RNAcentral.